UACGUAGGGUGCGAGCGUUAAUCGGAAUUACUGGGCGUAAAGCGUGCGCAGGUGGCGUCGCAAGUCAGGCGUGAAAUCCCCGAGCUCAACUUGGGAAUUGCGCUUGAAACUACGGUGCUGGAGUGCGGCAGAGGGAGGUGGAAUUCCACGUGUAGCGGUGAAAUGCGUAGAGAUGUGGAGGAACACCGAUGGCGAAGGCAGCCUCCUGGGUCGACACUGACGCUCAUGCACGAAAGCGUGGGGAGCAAACAGG
RNAcentral lists this ribosomal RNA (253 nucleotides) under uncultured bacterium. RNAcentral describes it as "partial 16S ribosomal RNA". It matches the Rfam family "Bacterial small subunit ribosomal RNA", at positions 524 to 776 of the family's 1533-position model. The record is from RNAcentral.